GAUUGCAUAUUUACCUUACCCUCUCUGUAAUCGCGGCUG
Molecule: non-coding RNA, 39 nt
Filed under: unclassified sequences
Description: S4-Bacteroidia ribosomal protein leader
Rfam family: S4-Bacteroidia ribosomal protein leader
Source: RNAcentral